AGGCGCGUAGCUCAGCAGGACAGAGCACUGGUUUCCUAAACCGGGGGUCGGCGGUUCGAGCCCGCCCGCGCCUA
RNAcentral lists this transfer RNA (74 nucleotides) under Desulfurellales bacterium. RNAcentral's name for it is "tRNA-Arg". It matches the Rfam family "tRNA". Rfam says of the family: Transfer RNA (tRNA) molecules are approximately 80 nucleotides in length. Their secondary structure includes four short double-helical elements and three loops (D, anti-codon, and T loops). The record is from RNAcentral. Lineage: Bacteria; Pseudomonadati; Campylobacterota; Desulfurellia; Desulfurellales.